AUGAAGGAAUGGCAGGGCACACCCAUGAGCUGCGCGAGGGUGGUGGACCGGAGCUUCCUCUCGGUGACGGCGGGGUCCUCCAGGAGCAGCACCUUGUCCUUGUCCUGCACGCCGGCCAUGUGCAGGUGGUCGCCGUCGUCCCGCUCCCGGCCACGGUAUAGCAGCCGCUGCUCCCUGGGCCACAGCCCGGUGGCCAGCGACAGCAGCACCUUGAGGUCGCCGAAGGUGGCGGUGGCGUCGAUGGACACGUCGUGCUGCCACGCGCCGCCGGCGGUGCAGACCUUCACCAGGAUGGCCUCGACCACGGCGUCGUCGUCCGGCCCCCGGCGCUUCUGCACGAGCAUCCCGCCCGGGCGCACCUCCCACUCGAUCCUCUCGUGCUCGGCCACCAUGGCGCACAUGUCCACCCCGCCGAUGCCGCCCGCCGUGCUCCUCGACCGGCUCCUGAACAGCCUCCUCGGGCUGGGAAUCUUCACCAUCUCCUCCUCUGCGCGCGCCCUCUGUUUCUCUCUGCCUGCCUCGUGUGUGUGUGCGUGA
RNAcentral lists this ribosomal RNA (537 nucleotides) under Triticum aestivum (bread wheat). RNAcentral's name for it is "partial small subunit ribosomal RNA". The record is from RNAcentral. Lineage: Eukaryota; Viridiplantae; Streptophyta; Magnoliopsida; Poales; Poaceae.